Molecule: long non-coding RNA, 538 nt
Filed under: Hordeum vulgare
Lineage: Eukaryota; Viridiplantae; Streptophyta; Magnoliopsida; Poales; Poaceae
Description: long non-coding RNA (HVUL_LNC006950)
Source: RNAcentral
AUCCAAGAUGAAGGCGAAGAUAUCCAGUGCGAGUGCCAGUUGUGGCAGUGCUAGGCAUUCUUGUUUUGGCUGCCGCCGCAAGAAGGCGAAGGUGAUGGUGGUUGGUGGCUUGCUGGAGCUCCCCUUCUCCAACACUCCGAGGCCCCUCGCCGAGGGUAAGCUCAAGCAGCUGGCCAAGUGUUGUGAUCUCAAUGUUGAUGUUAUCCUUGCCCAUGCUAUAGUUCAAGCUUCCGGUUCCGGUGGUGCCACUCGAUCCUCUCCAGCUGACGAAUCUUGUGCCUCCUUUACGGGUGAUGGCAAUAUUUCAGAUGUGUAGGCCUAGUGCGUCUCCAAUUUCUCUUCAAAUGUUGUUUCCUUUCCUAGCGGCCAUGUUAUCUCAAAUAGUUGCAUCUCCCUGGUGUUUGGUGUGUAACUCGCCCUGUGCGGGCUACCUGCAAGUUUAUUUCGAGUCGUCUUGCAUUAGCUUGUUAUCUGUACUUGGUCAGGGUUCAGUUUGUACUGGGCUUGUUGGUUAUGCUUUGAUCUAUCAAUUUAUGAA